AUUGAACGCUGGCGGAAUGCUUUACACAUGCAAGUCGAACGGCAGCACGGGUGCUUGCACCUGGUGGCGAGUGGCGAACGGGUGAGUAACAUAUCGGAACGUACCCAGUAAUGGGGGAUAACUAACCGAAAGGUUAGCUAAUACCGCAUACGCCCUGAGGGGGAAAGCGGGGGACCGUAAGGCCUCGCGUUAUUGGAGCGGCCGAUAUCUGAUUAGCUAGUUGGUAGGGUAAAGGCCUACCAAGGCGACGAUCAGUAGCAGGUCUGAGAGGAGGAUCUGCCACACUGGAACUGAGACACGGUCCAGACUCCGACGGGAGGCAGCAGUGGGGAAUUUUGGAAAAGGGGCGAAAGCCUGAUCCAGCCAUCCCGCGGGAGUGAAGAGGGCUUUGGGGUUGUAAGGCUCUUUCGGCAGGAAAGAAACGGUCUAGGUUAAUACCUUGGGCUAAUGACGUUACCUGAAGAAGAAGCACCGGCUAACUACGUGCCAGCCGCCGCGGUAA
RNAcentral lists this ribosomal RNA (502 nucleotides) under uncultured bacterium. RNAcentral's name for it is "partial 16S ribosomal RNA". It matches the Rfam family "Bacterial small subunit ribosomal RNA", at positions 29 to 523 of the family's 1533-position model. The record is from RNAcentral.